UGGCGGCGUGCCUAACACAUGCAAGUCGAACGGGAAGGAGGGCUUCGGCUCUCCGGAGUAGUGGCGCACGGGUGAGUAACACGUGGGUAAUCUGCCUUUGGGUGGGGAAUAACGAUCCGAAAGGGUCGCUAAUACCGCAUAACGCAGCGGCACCGCAUGGUGACAGUUGUUAAAGGGGGGGAUCGAAAGACCUCUCGCCUGAAGAGGAGCCCGCGCCCGAUUAGCUUGUUGGUGAGGUAAUGGCUCACCAAGGCUUCGAUCGGUAGCCGGCCUGAGAGGGCGGUCGGCCACACUGGCACUGAGACACGGGCCAGACUCCUACGGGAGGCAGCAGUGGGGAAUUUUGGGCAAUGGGCGAAAGCCUGACCCAGCAACGCCGCGUGAAGGACGAAAUCCCUCUGGGAUGUAAACUUC
RNAcentral lists this ribosomal RNA (414 nucleotides) under uncultured bacterium. RNAcentral's name for it is "bacterial SSU rRNA". It matches the Rfam family "Bacterial small subunit ribosomal RNA", at positions 37 to 433 of the family's 1533-position model. The record is from RNAcentral.